Long non-coding RNA from Nyctereutes procyonoides (raccoon dog), 558 nucleotides. RefSeq lists it as uncharacterized. The transcript is spliced from 2 exons. The record is from RefSeq and is a predicted model, not a curated record. NCBI's taxonomy places the organism in Eukaryota, Metazoa, Chordata, Mammalia, Carnivora, Canidae.
GCAGGUACAGGACAACCAGUGAAUGCAACUGGAUGCUUGCUGGUACACGCGCCACCUGCUACAGGGUGGUAAUUCUAACCUCAUCAGGACUAGGCGCUGCCACCACCAAAAGCAUUGGCAGACAGAAAGUGGGAUGAGAAAGAGCCGGAUCAGCAGCAUCUCUGCCAGCAGCCCCAUCUGGCCCUCUUGGCCUUGUAGACUCCACACCCAGCAUGGAGCCCAACGUGGAACUUAAACUUACAACCAUGAGAUCAAGACCUGAGCUGAGAUCAAAAGUUGGACACUUACCUGACUGAGACACCAAGUCCUCCAGCAAAUAUUUGAAACACCAUCAUAUUUUGAGUACUGGCACAGGAUAAAAUGAUACAGAUGUAAUAGAAAUGGUUCUCAUAUGCAAUCAGAAGAUGGAGUUUAAGUCCUAGCUCUGUCAUUUAUCACUAUGUGAUCUAGGGCAAGUUAUUUAAUGUCUCUGAUUCCUAGUUUCCAAUGCUAUACUGUAUUUGAAGGUACUUAGUAAUGCCUACCAUAACAUAUUCAAUAAAUGUCCAUUUCUUUCUA